Molecule: long non-coding RNA, 476 nt
Organism: Musa acuminata AAA Group (dessert banana)
Lineage: Eukaryota; Viridiplantae; Streptophyta; Magnoliopsida; Zingiberales; Musaceae
Exons: 2
Source: RefSeq, a predicted model, not a curated record
GGGGCUGCGAUUGUAGCAGCGGCAACGGCGGCGGCUGUGGCAGCUGCGUUUGGGAAAGAAAAAGAAGGAAUGAGAGUACGAGAGAGCAGGUGACUGUGCCUCGAUGUUCGACACGUGGUGUAGUUGCGAAGAAAGGAAGAAAACGGGAGCACAAAACGAAACAGAGAGAGGACACGGAGGAAAAGUAGAAGGAUUUGGGCUGGCACCUUCUUUGGAUCUUCGGAUCGAAAUCUUUGAAAGGUCAGCUUGUCACUCUUCGAGAUGUUUGAUUUGGGCUGAGGCAGUGGAUAGCUAUUCAGAAUAAUGGGCAAGUCUGGUUGGUUAUUACGAUAUUGUUGUAUAAGUAUGUCUUGUAUAUAAUGAAAUGUUGUCGAUGAACCGAAAUAGAUAUACUGUGUCCAAGUGUUAGGAGAUCUCUCUUAUUUGGAAUUUCAGAAUGUUAAGUCUAAUUUAUGGUGAUAUGAACUUGUGGUGAA